GAUGAACGCUGGCGGCGUGCCUAAUACAUGCAAGUCGAGCGAACAGACGAGGAGCUGGCUCCGCUGACGUUAGCGGCGGACGGGAGAGUAACACGUGGAUAACCUACCUAUAAGACGGGGAUAACUUCGGGAAACCGGAGCUAAUACCGGAUAAUAUAUUGAACCGCAGGGUUCAAUAGGGAAAGACGGUUUUGCUGUCACUUAUAGAUGGAUCCGCGCCGCAUUAGCUAGUUGGUAAGGUAACGGCUUACCAAGGCAACGAUGCGUAGCCGACCUGAGAGGGUGGUCGGCCACCCUGGAACUGCGACCCGCUCCAGACUCCUACGGGCGGCAGCCGUAGGGAAUCUUCCGCCAUGGGCGGAGGCCUGUCGGCGCAACGCCGCGUGAGUGAUGAAGGUCUUCGGAUCGUAGAACUCUGUUAUUAGGGAAGAACAAUUUUGUAAGUAACUAUGCACGUCUUGACGGUACCUAAUCAGAGAGCCACGGCUAACUUCGUG
Molecule: ribosomal RNA, 497 nt
Filed under: uncultured bacterium
Lineage: Bacteria
Description: partial 16S ribosomal RNA
Rfam family: Bacterial small subunit ribosomal RNA
Source: RNAcentral